Molecule: ribosomal RNA, 249 nt
Filed under: Planctomycetales bacterium
Lineage: Bacteria; Pseudomonadati; Planctomycetota; Planctomycetia; Planctomycetales
Description: partial 16S ribosomal RNA
Rfam family: Bacterial small subunit ribosomal RNA
Source: RNAcentral
GCCCCAGUUCGGAUUGCAGGCUGCAACUCGCCUGCAUGAAGCCGGAAUCGCUAGUAAUCGCGGGUCAGCAUACCGCGGUGAAUGUGUUCCUGAGCCUUGUACACACCGCCCGUCAAGCCACGAAAGUGGGGGGCAUCCGAAAGCGCCGCGCCAACCGCAAGGGGGUAAGCGUCUAAGAUGAACUCCGUGAUUGGGACUAAGUCGUAACAAGGUAGCCGUAGGGGAACCUGCGGCUGGAUCACCUCCUUU